CGGGCGUAGAGGAUGUGUCACGGCGGUGUAUUCCCUGACUUUCUCCCCGGCUUAAGCGCUGUAAUUAGUAGUGCAAACAGAAGAAAUGCAAUUAAGGUAAAUGAACUUGGGACCGAGGAAGGGCUCACUCCGGUUCUUAAAGAAACCUAUCUUGCAGUUUUUGGUUGAAAGCAUAAAAAUCCCACCACCAACCCCACUAAGCCGAAAUAUGAUUAGAGCAAGCCGGGCAAGAGCGCUUGCUGGUGGGACAGGAAGGGGACUCUUCCCAAAUCGAACAGCUCAGAGGCCUGAGAUUUAUGCAGAUGGCAGGAAGGGAGUAUAAGAGCGAGUGAGGCAGCUCAUUCCAGCGAGCGAUAUGGACUUGGGAGCCGCUGGCGUGAUAAGAAGGGAGUCUGCAAAAAAGAAAAAGAAAAAAGCAAUCGGGGAGACAGUUCGAGAACCGCAGCAAAUUCCUUUCCCGGAGAGUUGUUUUGCAGGUGACUUUUUAUAGGAAGCACUGAUGCUAACUGGAAGUUUUUGGAUCAGAAGAAAAGAGAUAUUCAUCAAAGAAACUAAGUGUACGAGCAUUUCUGUGAGGAUAAGUUGAAAUGUUGAUGUUAUAUUAUUUUAAACCUUAUGGUUUUUAAAAAAACAAAAGAUUUCAUCAAGCAAA
Long non-coding RNA from Hemicordylus capensis (graceful crag lizard), 652 nucleotides. RefSeq lists it as uncharacterized. The transcript has 2 exons. NCBI's taxonomy places the organism in Eukaryota, Metazoa, Chordata, Lepidosauria, Squamata, Cordylidae. The record is from RefSeq and is a predicted model, not a curated record.